UACGGGGGGGGUAAGCGUUGUUCGGAAUUACUGGGCGUAAAGGGCUCGUAGGCGGCCAACUAAGUCAUACGUGAAAUCCCUCAGCUUAACUGGGGAACUGCGUGUGAUACUGGAUGGCUUGGAUUUGGGAGAGGGAUGCGGAAUUCCAGGUGUAGCGGUGAAAUGCGUAGAUAUCUGGAGGAACACCGGUGGCGAAGGCGGCAUCCUGGACCAACAUUGACGCUGAGGAGCGAAAGCUAGGGGAGCAAACGGG
This 253-nucleotide ribosomal RNA is filed under the name uncultured bacterium. Its description in RNAcentral is "partial 16S ribosomal RNA". It matches the Rfam family "Bacterial small subunit ribosomal RNA", at positions 524 to 776 of the family's 1533-position model. The record is from RNAcentral.